GUGUCAGCAGCCGCGGUAAUACGUAGGGGGCAAGCGUUGUCCGGAUUUAUUGGGCGUAAAGAGCGUGUAGGCGGCCACACAGGUCAGCUGUGAAAACUCGAGGCUCAACCUCGAGACGUCGGUUGAAACCGUAUGGCUAGAGUCCGGAAGAGGAGAGUGGAAUUCCCGGUGUAGCGGUGAAAUGCGCAGAUAUCGGGAAGAACACCCAUGGCGAAGGCAGCUCUCUGGGACGGUACUGACGCUGAGACGCGAAAGCGUGGGGAGCGAACAGGAUUAGAUACCCUGGUAGUCCACGCCGUAAACGAUGGGCACUAGGUGUGGCGGGUGUCGACUCCCGCUGUGCCGAAGCUAACGCAUUAAGUGCCCCGCCUGGGGAGUACGGCCGCAAGGCUAAA
Molecule: ribosomal RNA, 395 nt
Filed under: uncultured bacterium
Lineage: Bacteria
Description: bacterial SSU rRNA
Rfam family: Bacterial small subunit ribosomal RNA
Source: RNAcentral